GUCCUUGUCGAUUAGUGGUUAGAUCAUCACGUUGUGGACCGACCAAACCGUGAAGACGGAGGCUCGAAUCCUCCCUGGGACA
This 82-nucleotide transfer RNA is filed under the name Scleroderma citrinum Foug A. It matches the Rfam family "tRNA". From Rfam's summary of the family: Transfer RNA (tRNA) molecules are approximately 80 nucleotides in length. Their secondary structure includes four short double-helical elements and three loops (D, anti-codon, and T loops). Further hydrogen bonds mediate the characteristic L-shaped molecular structure. tRNAs have two regions of fundamental functional importance: the anti-codon, which is responsible for specific mRNA codon recognition, and the 3' end, to which the tRNAs corresponding amino acid is attached (by aminoacyl-tRNA synthetases). tRNAs cope with the degeneracy of the genetic code in two manners: having more than one tRNA (with a specific anti-codon) for a particular amino acid; and 'wobble' base-pairing, i.e. permitting non-standard base-pairing at the 3rd anti-codon position. Lineage: Eukaryota; Fungi; Basidiomycota; Agaricomycetes; Boletales; Sclerodermataceae. The record is from Rfam by way of RNAcentral.